RNAcentral lists this ribosomal RNA (253 nucleotides) under uncultured bacterium. RNAcentral's name for it is "partial 16S ribosomal RNA". It matches the Rfam family "Bacterial small subunit ribosomal RNA", at positions 524 to 776 of the family's 1533-position model. The record is from RNAcentral.
UACGUAGGGAGCAAGCGUUGUCCGGAAUCAUUGGGCGUAAAGCGCGCGUAGGUGGCCCCGUAAGUCCGCUGUGAAAGUCAAAGGCUCAACCUUUGAAAGCCGGUGGAUACUGUGGGACUAGAGUACGGAAGAGGCGAGUGGAAUUCCUGGUGUAGCGGUGGAAUGCGCAGAUAUCGGAAGGAACACCAGUGGCGAAAGCGGCUUCCUGGUCCAGCACCGACGUUCAGGCACGAAAGCGUGGGGAGCAAACAGG